Molecule: ribosomal RNA, 85 nt
Filed under: bacterium 1XD42-1
Lineage: Bacteria
Source: RNAcentral
GCCGGUGUAAAUGACGCUGAGGAACCACCUGUUCCCAUACCGAACACAGAAGUUAAGCUCAGCAGUGCCGAAGAUACUUGGUGGG